CCAUGCCGCGUGUGUGAAGAAGGCCUUCGGGUUGUAAAGUACUUUCAGUCGUGAGGAAGGUAGUGUAGUUAAUAGCUGCAUUAUUUGACGUUAGCGACAGAAGAAGCACCGGCUAACUCCGUGCCAGCAGCCGCGGUAAUACGGAGGGUGCGAGCGUUAAUCGGAAUUACUGGGCGUAAAGCGCAUGCAGGUGGUUUGUUAAGUCAGAUGUGAAAGCCCGGGGCUCAACCUCGGAAUUGCAUUUGAAACUGGCAGACUAGAGUACUGUAGAGGGGGGUAGAAUUUCAGGUGUAGCGGUGAAAUGCGUAGAGAUCUGAAGGAAUACCGGUGGCGAAGGCGGCCCCCUGGACAGAUACUGACACUCAGAUGCGAAAGCGUGGGGAGCAAACAGGAUUAGAUACCCCU
RNAcentral lists this ribosomal RNA (405 nucleotides) under Vibrio parahaemolyticus. RNAcentral's name for it is "bacterial SSU rRNA". It matches the Rfam family "Bacterial small subunit ribosomal RNA", at positions 392 to 788 of the family's 1533-position model. Lineage: Bacteria; Pseudomonadati; Pseudomonadota; Gammaproteobacteria; Vibrionales; Vibrionaceae. The record is from RNAcentral.